RNAcentral lists this ribosomal RNA (288 nucleotides) under uncultured bacterium. RNAcentral describes it as "partial 16S ribosomal RNA". It matches the Rfam family "Bacterial small subunit ribosomal RNA", at positions 337 to 624 of the family's 1533-position model. The record is from RNAcentral.
ACCUACGGGGGGCAGCAGUGGGGAAUAUUGCACAAUGGGGGAAACCCUGAUGCAGCGACGCCGCGUGAGUGAAGAAGUAUUUCGGCACGUAAAGCUCUAUCAGCAGGGAAGAAGAACCGGCCUUAGGGCGGCCAGACGGUACCUGACUAAGAAGCCCCGGCUAACUACGUGCCAGCAGCCGCGGUAAUACGUAGGGGGCAAGCGUGAUCCGGAUUUAGUGGGGGUAGAGGGGGCGUAGACGGCAGCGCAAGUCUGGAGUGAAAUGCCGGGGGCCAACCCCGGAUCUGC